AGAAUCCAUACAUCGAAUUCCUCGAUAGCUUCUUCAGUAACCUUUCCACUUCAUCCUUCCGGGUUCCUGCGAACUUAUUGAGGCGAGACGCUGAAAAAAUCUCGAUGGCUCCGAUUCGGCGGAGGUUCCGCCAGUGGUCUCCGUAAGGUGACGCUACCAUUGUAGUGUGGUUGUAGCCGACGUGUUUGCCGACUAGCAACCGAGGACGGUUGGCUAAAACGAUAUCGUUCUUAGUGAAGCACUCCUCCACUGCCGGCAACGACGAGACGACCACAACGAGGCGAGACCCAAACCAGAGAGAGAUUACUGGUCCAUAUUUUGCAGAGAGUUUGUGUAAAGUUCGGUGGAGGGGGAUUUUGAUAUAAUGGAGGUGGCCAAUGAUGGGGAGAGACGGGGGACUGGGGGGUAAGUUUCUACGUCGGCUGCGGAGGUUGAAAGCGAAGAGAAGAGAGAUAAGAGAGAGAAAUAGGUAAAGCAGAGAAGAAAUUUCCAUGGCGUUUUUGUUAGAAGAGUAUAUUUAAAUUUGGAGUAGAGA
This 535-nucleotide long non-coding RNA is filed under the name Cucumis sativus (cucumber). RNAcentral describes it as "long non-coding RNA (CSAT_LNC002482)". Lineage: Eukaryota; Viridiplantae; Streptophyta; Magnoliopsida; Cucurbitales; Cucurbitaceae. The record is from RNAcentral.